GACGAACGCUGGCGGCGUGCUUAACACAUGCAAGUCGAGCGAAACGCCUCUUUCUUUGUGGUGUGCUCGCGUCGCACGCGUGUGUAUCACGUGGGCAUCCUCCCCUCUGCUCUUUGAUAUCUCUUCGAAACCCUGGGUCUUAUCCCAUAUGACCUCCCCUGCUAUCUGGUGGGGUUUGGAAUUUUUCGGCUGAGGAUGGGGCCGCGGCCUAUCAGCUGGUUGGUGGGGUAGUGGUCGACCAAGGCGACGACGGGUAGCCGGCCUGAGAGGGUGACCGGCCACAUUGGGACUGAGAUACGGCCCAGACUCCUACGGGAGGCAGCAGUGGGGAAUAUUGCGCAAUGGGCGGAAGCCUGAUGCAGCAACGCCGCGUGAGGGAUGAAGGCCUUCGGGUUGUAAACCGCUUUCAGCAGGGACGAAGCGAAGAUGACGGUAAUUGGAAAAGAAGCACCGGCUAACUACGUG
This 465-nucleotide ribosomal RNA is filed under the name uncultured bacterium. Its description in RNAcentral is "partial 16S ribosomal RNA". It matches the Rfam family "Bacterial small subunit ribosomal RNA", at positions 28 to 507 of the family's 1533-position model. The record is from RNAcentral.